CAAUGUCAUUUUACAGGGUGGAGGGAGACACUAGCAGGGAAAGGAGAUAUUAGGAAAUGCCUCAGGCAAGAAGUAACAUGUGAACUGGAUGAAAUGAAGAGGGAAUGCAUUCUAAACAUAGGAAUAACAUCUUUGCAAAGACACAGGAAUCACCUAUCAAAAAAACCCUCUUUCAGAUGAAGAAACUGAGUCUUGGGAAAGGGUAGUAGCCAUGUAGGGAAGAACGAGAAUGGAUGCAAGACAUAAUAUGGAGGAUUAAGACUUGGUAAUUGACUGGAUAUGUGAUGUGAAGGAGUUGAGAGCAAUCUGAGGAUAUGAACCAGGAUGGCUGGACCCUGCUGACUGGCCAGUCCAUAGAAAAAAGCCAGGAAUGAGUAAUCUGCUCUGCCAAGGCCAGCAGUACAGUCAGCAGCAGCAAUAAAGCACCUGAAUUCAUUUUAGAGCUGUGAUAG
This 452-nucleotide long non-coding RNA is filed under the name Monodelphis domestica (gray short-tailed opossum). RNAcentral describes it as "lncRNA (ENSMODG00000039297.1)". The record is from RNAcentral. Lineage: Eukaryota; Metazoa; Chordata; Mammalia; Didelphimorphia; Didelphidae.